ACGGGUGAGUAAUGUCUGGGAAACUGCCUGAUGGAGGGGGAUAACUACUGGAAACGGUAGCUAAUACCGCAUAACGUCGCAAGACCAAAGAGGGGGGACCUUCGGGCCUCUUGCCAUCAGAUGUGCCCAGAUGGGAUUAGCUAGUAGGUGGGGUAACGGCUCACCUAGGNGACGAUCCCUAGCUGGUCUGAGAGGAUGACCAGCCACACUGGAACUGAGACACGGUCCAGACUCCUACGGGAGGCAGCAUG
This 251-nucleotide ribosomal RNA is filed under the name uncultured bacterium. Its description in RNAcentral is "partial 16S ribosomal RNA". It matches the Rfam family "Bacterial small subunit ribosomal RNA", at positions 102 to 353 of the family's 1533-position model. The record is from RNAcentral.